GCAUUGGUGGUUCAGUGGUAGAAUUCUCACCUCACAUGAGGGAGACCUGGGUUCGAUUCCUGGCCAGUGCA
Molecule: transfer RNA, 71 nt
Filed under: Trichechus manatus latirostris (Florida manatee)
Lineage: Eukaryota; Metazoa; Chordata; Mammalia; Sirenia; Trichechidae
Description: tRNA-Val (CAC) (tRNA-Val-CAC-8-1)
Rfam family: tRNA
About the family: Transfer RNA (tRNA) molecules are approximately 80 nucleotides in length. Their secondary structure includes four short double-helical elements and three loops (D, anti-codon, and T loops).
Source: Rfam by way of RNAcentral